RNAcentral lists this ribosomal RNA (253 nucleotides) under uncultured bacterium. Its description in RNAcentral is "partial 16S ribosomal RNA". It matches the Rfam family "Bacterial small subunit ribosomal RNA", at positions 524 to 776 of the family's 1533-position model. The record is from RNAcentral.
UACGAAGGGGGCUAGCGUUGUUCGGAAUUACUGGGCGUAAAGCGCACGUAGGCGGACUAUUAAGUCAGGGGUGAAAUCCCGGGGCUCAACCCCGGAACUGCCUUUGAUACUGGUAGUCUCGAGUCCGGAAGAGGUGAGUGGAAUUCCGAGUGUAGAGGUGAAAUUCGUAGAUAUUCGGAGGAACACCAGUGGCGAAGGCGGCUAACUGGCCCAUUACUGACGCUGAGGCUCGAAAGCGUGGGGAGCAAACAGG